This 440-nucleotide ribosomal RNA is filed under the name uncultured bacterium. Its description in RNAcentral is "bacterial SSU rRNA". It matches the Rfam family "Bacterial small subunit ribosomal RNA", at positions 958 to 1398 of the family's 1533-position model. The record is from RNAcentral.
AACGCGAAGAACCUUACCCAGACUUGACAUGUACUGGACGAUACUAGAGAUAGUAUUUCCCUUCGGGGCCGGUACACAGGUGCUGCAUGGCUGUCGUCAGCUCGUGCCGUGAGGUGUUUGGUUAAGUCCAGCAACGAGCGCAACCCUUAUCAUUAGUUGCCAACACGUAAUGGUGGGAACUCUAAUGAGACUGCCCGGGUUAACCGGGAGGAAGGUGAGGAUGACGUCAAGUCCGCAUGGCCCUUAUGUCUGGGGCUACACACGUGCUACAAUGGUCGGUACAGAAGGCAGCGAAGCCGCGAGGUGGAGCAAAUCCCAAAAGCCGAUCUCAGUUCAGAUUGUAGUCUGCAACUCGACUACAUGAAGACGGAAUUGCUAGUAAUGGCAGGUCAGCAACACUGCCGUGAAUACGUUCCCGGGCCUUGUACACACCGUACGUC